RNAcentral lists this ribosomal RNA (745 nucleotides) under uncultured bacterium. RNAcentral's name for it is "bacterial SSU rRNA". It matches the Rfam family "Bacterial small subunit ribosomal RNA", at positions 33 to 773 of the family's 1533-position model. The record is from RNAcentral.
ACGCUGGCGGCAGGCCUAACACAUGCAAGUCGAGCGGUAGAGAGAAGCUUGCUUCUCUUGAGAGCGGCGGACGGGUGAGUAAUGCCUAGGAAUCUGCCUGGUAGUGGGGGAUAACGUUCGGAAACGGACGCUAAUACCGCAUACGUCCUACGGGAGAAAGCAGGGGACCUUCGGGCCUUGCGCUAUCAGAUGAGCCUAGGUCGGAUUAGCUAGUUGGUGGGGUAAUGGCUCACCAAGGCGACGAUCCGUAACUGGUCUGAGAGGAUGAUCAGUCACACUGGAACUGAGACACGGUCCAGACUCCUACGGGAGGCAGCAGUGGGGAAUAUUGGACAAUGGGCGAAAGCCUGAUCCAGCCAUGCCGCGUGUGUGAAGAAGGUCUUCGGAUUGUAAAGCACUUUAAGUUGGGAGGAAGGGCAGUAAAUUAAUACUUUGCUGUUUUGACGUUACCGACAGAAUAAGCACCGGCUAACUCUGUGCCAGCAGCCGCGGUAAUACAGAGGGUGCAAGCGUUAAUCGGAAUUACUGGGCGUAAAGCGCGCGUAGGUGGUUCGCUAAGUUGGAUGUGAAAUCCCCGGGCUCAACCUGGGAACUGCAUUCAAAACUGACGAGCUAGAGUAUGGUAGAGGGUGGUGGAAUUUCCUGUGUAGCGGUGAAAUGCGUAGAUAUAGGAAGGAACACCAGUGGCGAAGGCGACCACCUGGACUGAUACUGACACUGAGGUGCGAAAGCGUGGGGAGCAAAC